UGGGUCAGUGAUGACCACUGGUGCAUUAUGAGUUGUGGAUCAUGACUACAGGUCUGGGAGUCUAAGGUCUGC
Small nucleolar RNA from Acomys russatus (golden spiny mouse), 72 nucleotides. RefSeq annotates it as small nucleolar RNA SNORD113/SNORD114 family. The transcript has a single exon. The record is from RefSeq and is a predicted model, not a curated record. NCBI's taxonomy places the organism in Eukaryota, Metazoa, Chordata, Mammalia, Rodentia, Muridae.